UACGAAGGGGGCUAGCGUUGCUCGGAAUUACUGGGCGUAAAGCGCACGUAGGCGGCGGGGCCAGUCUGAUGUGAAAUCCCGGGGCUCAACCCCGGAACUGCAUUGGAUACUGCCUUGCUAGAGUACUGGAGAGGAAACUGGAAUUUACGGUGUAGCAGUGAAAUGCGUAGAGAUCGUAAGGAAGGCCGGUGGCGAAGGCGAGUUCCUGGACAGUUACUGACGCUGAGGCACGAAGGCCAGGGGAGCAAACGGG
Molecule: ribosomal RNA, 253 nt
Filed under: uncultured bacterium
Lineage: Bacteria
Description: partial 16S ribosomal RNA
Rfam family: Bacterial small subunit ribosomal RNA
Source: RNAcentral